AGGAUUAUAAUUUAUAUAAAAAAUAUUUGAUUUGCAUUUAAAAAAAGUCCUUUGACUAAUCUUA
This 64-nucleotide transfer RNA is filed under the name Goera martynowi. RNAcentral describes it as "tRNA-Ala". Lineage: Eukaryota; Metazoa; Arthropoda; Insecta; Trichoptera; Goeridae. The record is from RNAcentral.